UACGUAGGGGGCAAGCGUUGUCCGGAAUCAUUGGGCGUAAAGAGCGUGUAGGCGGCUCGAUAAGUCCGCUGUGAAAGUCCAGGGCUCAACCCUGGAAGGCCGGUGGAAACUGUCGGGCUAGAGUCCGGAAGAGGCGAGUGGAAUUCCCGGUGUAGCGGUGAAAUGCGCAGAUAUCGGGAGGAACACCAGUGGCGAAGGCAGCUCGCUGGGACGGUACUGACGCUGAGACGCGAAAGCGUGGGGAGCAAACAGG
Molecule: ribosomal RNA, 253 nt
Filed under: uncultured bacterium
Lineage: Bacteria
Description: partial 16S ribosomal RNA
Rfam family: Bacterial small subunit ribosomal RNA
Source: RNAcentral